RNAcentral lists this ribosomal RNA (1052 nucleotides) under Salmonella enterica subsp. enterica serovar Typhimurium. RNAcentral's name for it is "partial 23S ribosomal RNA". It matches the Rfam family "Bacterial large subunit ribosomal RNA", at positions 505 to 1561 of the family's 2925-position model. The record is from RNAcentral. Lineage: Bacteria; Pseudomonadati; Pseudomonadota; Gammaproteobacteria; Enterobacterales; Enterobacteriaceae.
GAGGGAAAGGCGAAAAGAACCCCGGAGAGGGGAGUGAAAUAGAACCUGAAACCGUGUGCGUACAAGCAGUAGGAGCUCCGCAAGGAGUGACUGCGUACCUUUUGUAUAAUGGGUCAGCGACUUACUGUUCGUGGCAAGCUUAACCGUAUAGGGGAGGCGAAGGGAAACCGAGUCUGAUAAGGGCGCAUAGUCGCGGGCAGUAGACCCGAAACCGGGUGAUCUAGUCAUGCCCAGGGUGAAGGUGCGGUAACACGCACUGGAGGCCCGAACCCACUCCCGUUGCAAAGGUAGGGGAUGAGGUGUGAUUAGGAGUGAAAAGCUAAUCGAACCCGGAGAUAGCUGGUUCUCCUCGAAAGCUAUUUAGGUAGCGCCUCAUAUGUAUCCUCUCGGGGGUAGAGCACUGUUAUGGCUAGGGGGUCAUCGCGACUUACCAAACCAUUGCAAACUCCGAAUACCGAGACGGACUGUAUGGGAGACACACGGCGGGUGCUAACGUCCGUCGUGAAAAGGGAAACAACCCAGACCCACAGCUAAGGUCCCAAAUUUUGUGCUAAGUGGAAAACCAUGUGGAAAGGCACAGACAGCCAGGAGGUUGGCUUAGAAGCAGCCACCCUUUAAAGAAAGCGUAAUAGCUCACUGGUCGAGUCGGUCUGCGGGGAAGAUUUAACGGGGCUAAGCACAGAACCGAAGCUUGGGGUGCAUAACUUUGUUAUGCGCGGUAGAGGAGCGUUCCGUAAGCCGUUGAAGGUGGAUUGAGAAGUCUGCUGGAGGUAUCGGAAGUGCGAAUGCUGACAUGAGUAACGAUAAUGCGGGUGAAAAACCCGCACGCCGAAAGCCCAAGGUUUCCUUGCGCAACGUUAAUCGGCGCAGGGUGAGUCGGCCCCUAAGGCGAGGACGAAAGUCGUAGUCGAUGGGAAGCAGGUUAAUAUUCCUGCACCUCGCGUAAGUGCGAUGGAGGGACGGAGAAGGUUAGGUGUACCAGGCGUUGGUUGUCCUGGGGAAAGGCGGUAGGUUUGGAUCUUUGGCAAAUCCGGGAUCCUCUAAGACCGAGC